AAUGGGCAAAUGUUACACAAUCCAGGCGUGGAAAGCUCUUCGAGAUUUAUCCAGAAAGACUCACAGCUGUAAUUGCUGCCAACGGUGCUUCUACAAAGUAUUGAUUCAGGCUGUGAUUGCUACUAAGAGCAAUGGCAUGGUUUUUUUAUUUCUCCAUGGUGCUGACUGUACUGCUUCACUGCUCACCUGGUAACAUUGUCAGGACUACCUCUACCGCACCCUCAUCCAGCAACUCUGACUAUGUCCCAUUCCUGGCAUUCUCCAACCCCCUCAGCACCAGCUCCAACAUGGGCACAACAGCCCCUAAGCUCACCACAAUACAACAGCCAGGGACAGACAUCCUUCUGCCCACCGGCAGGAAACAAGAUGACCAGUAUGGAGGACUUAGCUAGGGCAUUGAUUGGCACAUCAUAUGGCAGUGAUGAGUCUAUGGAUGGCAGUGGACCUGGAGACGUGGUUAUAAUAGAAGAGGCCACUACCGAAGAAGGGCUCAGAGCACUGGAGGAGAAUGAGGAAGACAUUUUUGUGAUUGACUCAAUGGUUCCUUUAUGAAGCAACAUACGGGCAAAACAGUCCCACUCCUCCUCCUUGUCAUCUGCCAUUGUGACAGAACAGUUUCAAACAG
RNAcentral lists this long non-coding RNA (625 nucleotides) under Salmo salar (Atlantic salmon). Its description in RNAcentral is "lncRNA (ENSSSAG00000087149.1)". The record is from RNAcentral. Lineage: Eukaryota; Metazoa; Chordata; Actinopteri; Salmoniformes; Salmonidae.